AGCAGUCGCCACGGUAAUACGUAGGUGGCAAGCGUUGUCCGGAAUUAUUGGGCGUAAAGGGCUCGCAGGCGGUUUCUCAAGUCUGAUGUGAAAGCCCCCGGCUCAACCGGGGAGGGUCAUUGGAAACUGGGAAACUUGAGUGCAGAAGAGGAGAGUGGAAUUCCACGUGUAGUGGUGAAAUGCGUAGAGAUGUGGAGGAACACCAGUGGCGAAGGCGACUCUCUGGUCUGUAACUGACGCUGAGGAGCGAAAGCGUGGGGAGCGAACAGGAUUAGAUACCCGCGUAGUCCCUGUCUCUUAUAC
RNAcentral lists this ribosomal RNA (303 nucleotides) under uncultured bacterium. RNAcentral describes it as "partial 16S ribosomal RNA". It matches the Rfam family "Bacterial small subunit ribosomal RNA", at positions 507 to 807 of the family's 1533-position model. The record is from RNAcentral.